AGCAGCCGCGGUAAUUCCAGCUCCAAUAGCGUAUAUUAAAGUUGUUGCAGUUAAAAAGCUCGUAGUUGAAUUUCGAGAUCAGUACGCUGGUCGUGCCUUCGGUAUGCACUGGUGUCACUGGUUUCUCCCUUCUGAAGAACCGUCAUGUCAUUAAGUUGGUGUGGCGGGGAAUCAGGACUGUUACUUUGAAAAAAUUAGAGUGUUUAAAGCAGGCUCGCGCUUGAAUACAUUAGCAUGGAAUAAUGAAAUAGGACGUUUGACCCUAUUUUGUUGGUUUCUAGGAUCGACGUAAUGAUUAAUAGGGAUAGUUGGGGGCAUUAGUAUUCAAUUGUCAGAGGUGAAAUUCUUGGAUUUAUUGAAGACUAACUACUGCGAAAGCAUUUGCCAAGGAUGUUUUCAUUAAUCAAGAACGAAAGUUAGGGGAUCGAAGACGAUCAGAUACCGUCGUAGUCUUAACCAUAAGCUAUGCCGACUAGGGAUCGGAUGAUGUUAAUUUUUAAUGACUCU
This 507-nucleotide ribosomal RNA is filed under the name uncultured Glomus. RNAcentral describes it as "SSU rRNA". It matches the Rfam family "Eukaryotic small subunit ribosomal RNA", at positions 569 to 1078 of the family's 1831-position model. Lineage: Eukaryota; Fungi; Glomeromycota; Glomeromycetes; Glomerales; Glomeraceae. The record is from RNAcentral.